Molecule: ribosomal RNA, 462 nt
Filed under: uncultured bacterium
Lineage: Bacteria
Description: partial 16S ribosomal RNA
Rfam family: Bacterial small subunit ribosomal RNA
Source: RNAcentral
GACGAACGCUGGCGGCGUGCUUAACACAUGCAAGUCGAGUGGAAAGGCCCUUCGGGGUCCUCGAGCGGCGAACGGGUGAGUAACACGUGAGUAACCUGCCCCAGACUUUGGGAUAACCCUCGGAAACGGGGGCUAAUACCGGAUACGACACAGCUUCGCAUGGGGUCUGUGUGGAAAGUUUUUCGGUUUGGGAUGGGCUCGCGGCCUAUCAGCUUGUUGGUGGGGUGAUGGCCUACCAAGGCGACGACUGGUAGCCGGCCUGAGAGGGCGACCGGCCACACUGGGACUGAGACACGGCCCAGACUCCUACGGGAGGCAGCAGUGGGGAAUAUUGCACAAUGGGCGGAAGCCUGAUGCAGCGACGCCGCGUGAGGGAUGACGGCCUUCGGGUUGUAAACCUCUUUCAGCAGGGACGAAGCGUAAGUGACGGUACCUGCAGAAGAAGCGCCGGCCAACUACGUG